GAACCUACUUCUCAAAUAUGCUUCCUACUGUCUUCACUGACCACAGAAUCAGACUAACAACAAGAAAGUUUUAAUCCUAUAUUUUUUUAUCCAAAUCUUCAUCAAUGAAAGCAGUAAAGAUGUGUUAUUUUGUUCAUGAAAUCAACAUGAAAGUUGUUAUAUUUUUCUUUGCUGAUGUUGUGUCAGACGGAGAACUAUGUUAGUGUGAAGUCUUGUCAAAGUCUUGUCUUCCAAUCCAGGUGUGACGACAACUCGACCAGCGCCUCUUGUCAGCAUCCAGGUGAUCACUCGCCAGGUGCUGUGCUAGUACUUCUUCCUUUUGAGAACUGGGAUACGACCCCAGCCUGUUGGGUCUGUGAGUCUUUUGCAGGUAACAUGUGAAAAUGUGUUUGAAUAACGAGGGCAAGAAGUGCGUUCCACAUCGAGGUCUUCCUGCCUUGUGUGAUGAAACAACGACUCCGGUGAUAAACACGGCGAAGACGAGCGCUGGAAGCCGUCAGGUGGCGCAGUGGACGAUACUUUCAAUAGGAAAUAGUGUAGACAUUGAGGAACAUACAAAAUGGUCCUUUGACUUCUUUGACAUCGUCCUCCAGCUGAUCCCCAGCCCCUGUAAUAUCUGCUUCGUCCUGAAUAAAUUUUGCAAUUUCGGUUGUCAGCCGGGAGUGUCGUCCGUCCACGUACGAGUUCUUGUGUUUCCUGACUACACCUGCUGUCUUGUUGAGUAAUCAUUGUUUCUAACAUCACUCAGAGGCCCUACAGCACGACCAUGUGGACACAAAUAACAGAAUAAAAGAAAACACCUUUUUCCUCUCUCUCUUAGGAUCAACUUGAACACGCCACCUCUAAGCCCCCAAGAUGGCAGCUUACCUGGCGAUGUUACCUGACGAGUGUCCGCGAUUCAAAUGUCAAGACACGAGGGAUCCUUUAGUCUACCUACUACUACACACCUUCGAUGUGCGAGAACACGGGAACAGUGGCCACAGGACAUGAUGGCUGAAGACAUGGCAAUCGACAGUUGUGACAUUGCGUCACACUUAUUACACCGCUCGGUUCACGAAACCGGUUGGACGAGAAGAUGACAGGUUUCCUGUCUGUCAGUGACUAACAGUUUCUUUAAAAGCUUCCCUCCCCCUAUAUUGUGCCUCACCUACGCAGGUCGUUAAAUCAGGGGGUCAGAGUUAAGUGUAUCGAUCCCUCUUAUUCAGCCUGGGGUCAUCACGUGACCUAUUGAGAGAACAAUUGCCUUGAAGAGGUGGACGUGGCGACAGGACGGACUGUGACGAGCUUUUGCCGUGGGUCGGAUGGAGUUUUCGUUUCGAGACACAAGCAGGCUUAAGGCUCGUUCACACAAAAGUAGAUUUCUAUUGUAAUCGAGCUUUGGGGACUUAGCAGACUUAAAGUGUAAAGCCUAUUAAAAUGUACGAUGGAGGUCGCAUUCCUUGACCGACAUAAGAAGAAUCUGUCAAACUUCAAGUCUUUGGUUGGGUGGCUUAACAUCAGAGUUGCGUGGCUGGUCAUGAAAGCCCAGCUUUCUAGUGGCUGACAGAUUUCGAAUAAUCCGAGCAACUCUUACUUUCUACCCUACCUGGCCUGUCAACCAACAUUCCUGCUGGGGAAAAGGGGUAGGGAGUUGUUCUUCCUAAUAGGCGAAUACCAAGGGAUGACGGAAAGUUAGUAUCACCGUGAUGCCCAACCCUAACCUGGAUACCCAGACCGCAGUGCUCAAUCCGUAGGAAGUGAUAGUUUGUACGAAACUCUUAGACUGGAACCCUUGACAUCUUGUAUCUACAGUGAGUCAACUUUUUCCAAGAACCUUGGGAACUUAAUGUUUUAAACCGCGUCAGGUGAAUGAUGGAAUAAAGCAAUAAACGAACAAGGAUCUAAGUAUUGUUCAUACUGUUAUUCAAACCAGAUCCGAAAGUAUAUGCACACCUGUCAUAAAACAUACUAAGCAUAUAAAGCAUCAGCUGGUAAGUCUCUCGUCUGCUGACCUCUCUCUCUAUCCACACCUGUCAGCAUCAUGGCGGCUGCGCGUGUCUGCGAUUCCAAAGCGCUUGUUGCUGAAGUACCGAGUCUUGUGUCAACAGACGACUGAGGAAAACACAUAAAAAAGAAAAGAAAGAGCUUCUAUUAGGAGAACUAAAUUAAGCUGAACUUUCUCAGCAAAUGCCUUCAGCCCACGCUUCUCCAUCGACCGACGAACAAACAGUUGUCGCAGAAGGAAAACGUUGACAGGAGGCCGCCAUCAUCUUCAUUAUCACAAUUUCUACAACGCAGUUUGCACUGCGCAUGCGUGCAUUCAUUCUGCUCCCUCCACCCUGCCGGAAAGCCUCUCCCCCCGCCUCUCAGAAUACCAUCGUCUGUCAUCAGCCCCGUUCUUACCGGAUGUCUUUACCCUAUUCAAACUCUCCUCUCCCCACCAUCCACCCAUCCACCUCCUUUUGAAUUCUUCUGAAUGACUCGGUGGCACGUAACACAGCGAGGCAAUAACCGGCCCCUCCCUACCCCACCAUCACCUCCCCUCAUCCCCUCAUAACACUCUUCCUUCCUGCUCGACAGUCCCUCACUCCCCCUCCCCACCACAUACCACCAUCCACCCGUAUUGCUGUGUGAGUCGUGUUUUCCUUCAAUCUCCACUCGGGUGAAUGCGGUCCCUAACCUGAGGCGUUGAAAAAAAAAAAGGAAGCUGUGUUUACAAGACUUUCUAUAUUUGUAAACCUCGCGCCCAUCAUCGGCGAUGAAAGCGGUUUGACUGAGCCUCGACAUUUCUAUUCACAACAUGGAAGGGGGAUCGGGCUCGAGAUCGUUACGUCGUGUUACCCGAAAAUAAAACAUUUUCCCUUCUUCAUCUUGUCAAGUGCCCACCCCGCACCCCGCACCUCGCUAUAAACGACCUCGGGUUUAUGUUGAGUGCAAUAAUUUCUUGAGCAACUGACAGACUCAUACAUAUGAAGCGGCCAUAAAGAGCGAGACGCCCGCAGAUGAUGGCAUUUCUCUUGUCGUCUGCUUGCAGUCACAACAUUCCAG
RNAcentral lists this long non-coding RNA (3027 nucleotides) under Pomacea canaliculata. RNAcentral's name for it is "uncharacterized LOC112570644". The record is from RNAcentral. Lineage: Eukaryota; Metazoa; Mollusca; Gastropoda; Architaenioglossa; Ampullariidae.